AUCGCUGAGGAGUCCCACAAUAGGACGAAACGGCUGUCCAGGUU
Molecule: non-coding RNA, 44 nt
Filed under: Schistosoma margrebowiei
Lineage: Eukaryota; Metazoa; Platyhelminthes; Trematoda; Strigeidida; Schistosomatidae
Source: RNAcentral